Molecule: long non-coding RNA, 1105 nt
Organism: Heterocephalus glaber (naked mole-rat)
Lineage: Eukaryota; Metazoa; Chordata; Mammalia; Rodentia; Bathyergidae
Source: Ensembl
GGAGAUACCUCAAAGAACUAGGACUGGAAGUCCCAUUUGACCCAGCUAUUCCACUGCUGGGGAUCUUCCCCAAAGAAUUAAAAGAAUCAUACCACAGUGAUAUAUGUGCACCCAUGUUCAUAGCAGCACAGUUUGUAAUAGCUAAAACUUGGAAACAGCCCAAAUGCCCAUCAACUGGAGACUGGAUAAAGAAAAUGUGGUUUUUUAUAAAAUGGAGUACUACUCAGCCAUCAAAAAUGAGAAGUUAGAGACAUUUCUAGCUAAGUGGAUGCACAUUGAGGCGAUACUCUUAAAUGAAAUAAAUAGGACACACAUGCAUAAAUACUGAAUAGUUUCUCUGGUGUGAGAAACUGAAAGUGUAAAUAAGGACUAAAUGUAUAAUAGGGUCUUCCAGAGCAUAACUGACAACAUGAUUGACAAGAGUGCUGAGUCACAUCACCUGCAUCUACUGCACAUGUCCUUUCCCAUAAUUCACUUUGUUACAACUGGAUGUAUGAGACGCAGUCCAUGUGCAUGAACCUUCAAUGAGCUCCAGGUGAAGAAAGGUUUCUGCAGGUCAUUGGUGUGUGUGGAUCCUGGUUUAGAAUUUUGGAAUUUUCCCAGGCAGGUUUAGGGAUCUUUGCUUUUCUUAUGUCUGCCUGCAUGUAGUAAGGGGUUGGCCUUGGGUUGUUGCUCAGGUGCAGGUGAGUGGAGGGAAGUGGUCCCAUAGCCCCAGUUGUAGUGUCUAUAUUAGGUUCAAUCCCCAGUGCUAUUGAAAAAAAAAAAGUCAUCAUGCCCAGAGAGAUUCUUCAUCACCCCCUGUAGGAGCGGCUCACAGAGAGUCAUUACCUGCAUUAAUAUGACUACUUUUGUUCCUUGCCUAGUUCUCUCUUUCACCUGCCCACUCGUCACCACCUCCCCCACAGCCCAGAAUUUUCUCUCAGGCUAUUGUCAGUUCUCCCACCUGUGAAUUUCCCUAACAAUCGUGUACAACCCAUCUUCAGGUUGACUAGACCCCCACUGCUCUCUGUCCUAUGAAGAGGGGUGUUUUGAAUAUCAUCGGGAUAUUGGGCACUCUCCUGGGAUUCUCUGUGCAUAUAAUAAACACACAUGCUUUUCUCUCCUG